AUUGAACGCUGGCGGCAUGCCUUACACAUGCAAGUCGAACGGUAACAGGUCUUCGGAUGCUGACGAGUGGCGAACGGGUGAGUAAUACAUCGGAACGUGCCCGAUCGUGGGGGAUAACGAGGCGAAAGCUUUGCUAAUACCGCAUACGAUCUACGGAUGAAAGCGGGGGAUCUUCGGACCUCGCGCGGGCGGAGCGGCCGAUGGCAGAUUAGGUAGUUGGUGGGAUAAAAGCUUACCAAGCCGACGAUCUGUAGCUGGUCUGAGAGGAUGAUCAGCCACACUGGGACUGAGACACGGCCCAGACUCCUACGGGAGGCGGCAGUGGGGAAUUUUGGACAAUGGGCGAAAGCCUGAUCCAGCCAUGCCGCGUGCAGGAUGAAGGCCUUCGGGUUGUAAACUGCUUUUGUACGGAACGAAAAGCCUCUUUCUAAUAAAGAGGGGUCAUGACGGUACCGGAAGAAUAAGCACCGGCUAACUACGUG
RNAcentral lists this ribosomal RNA (482 nucleotides) under uncultured bacterium. RNAcentral describes it as "partial 16S ribosomal RNA". It matches the Rfam family "Bacterial small subunit ribosomal RNA", at positions 30 to 507 of the family's 1533-position model. The record is from RNAcentral.